UCAGGCUCUCUUAGGUAUUGGGCUGUGCAACUGGUCAGGUUUGAAAAAAAGCAGCCAACGCAGUUUUUGUACGCUUCAUAGAGGGCCGACUUG
This 93-nucleotide signal recognition particle RNA is filed under the name Holosporales bacterium. RNAcentral describes it as "signal recognition particle sRNA small type". It matches the Rfam family "Bacterial small signal recognition particle RNA". Rfam says of the family: The signal recognition particle (SRP) is a universally conserved ribonucleoprotein involved in the co-translational targeting of proteins to membranes. The record is from RNAcentral. Lineage: Bacteria; Pseudomonadati; Pseudomonadota; Alphaproteobacteria; Holosporales.